AAUAGAUACCCUGGUAGUCCACGCCGUAAACGAUGGAUACUAGCUGUUGGAGGUAUCGACCCCUUCAGUAGCGAAGCUAACGCGUUAAGUAUCCCGCCUAUGGAGUACGGCCGCAAGGCUAAAACAUAAAGGAAUUGACGGGGACCCGCACAAGCGGUGGAUCAUGUUCUUUAAUUCGAUGAUAAACGAAGAACCUUACCAGGGCUUGACAUCCUUGGAAGCACUACGAAAGUAGCGUGUGCCUUUUGGAACCAAGUGACAGAUGUUGCAUGGCCGUCGUCAGCUCGUGUCGUGAGAUGUUGGUUAAGUCCAUCAACGAGCGCAACCCUUGUGAAUAGUUGUAUUUUUCUAUUCAGACUGCCCCGGUNAACGGGGAGAAGAGGGGAUGAUGUCAGGUCAGUAUUACUCUUACGUCCUGGGCUAGAAACGUGAUACAAUGGCUGGUACAAUGCGCAGCGAAGCCGCGAGGUGAAGCAAAUCGCAUCAAAGCCAGUCCCAGUUCGGAUUGGAGCUGAAACUCGCUC
This 524-nucleotide ribosomal RNA is filed under the name uncultured bacterium. RNAcentral's name for it is "bacterial SSU rRNA". It matches the Rfam family "Bacterial small subunit ribosomal RNA", at positions 777 to 1318 of the family's 1533-position model. The record is from RNAcentral.